Molecule: unclassified non-coding RNA, 490 nt
Filed under: uncultured Prochlorococcus sp.
Lineage: Bacteria; Bacillati; Cyanobacteriota; Cyanophyceae; Synechococcales; Prochlorococcaceae
Description: partial 16S-23S ribosomal RNA intergenic spacer
Rfam family: tRNA (bases 278-350)
Source: RNAcentral
GGGCUAAUGACUGGGGUGAAGUCGUAACAAGGUAGCCGUACCGGAAGGUGCGGCUGGAUCACCUCCUAACAGGGAGACAACAAAAUGUAAAUAUUAAUUUUGUCACCUUAGGUCGAUCGGUAUCUCAGAUUCUUAUUAUUUAAGAAUUUCAGUUUCUAAGUUUUUCUAGGUCACACCCAUCACUUUUUCCUGGGCCAUUAGCUCAGGUGGUUAGAGCGCACCCCUGAUAAGGGUGAGGUCCCUGGUUCAAGUCCAGGAUGGCCCAUAUCUCUAUGUUGGGGGUAUAGCUCAGUUGGUAGAGCGCCUGCUUUGCAAGCAGGAUGUCAGCGGUUCGAGUCCGCUUACCUCCACUGAAUACCACCUCUUACAUAUAGUUGAAGUGGGAAAUUGUUUUGAGUCGUGUCCUAAUUUGCUCUGAGCGAAUCUAACUUCCUAUUUUAUCCAAGAAAUAAGAUGCUGGACUCAUUGAAUUUUUUUUCAUUGUUUUCAG